RNAcentral lists this transfer RNA (75 nucleotides) under Bacilli bacterium. RNAcentral's name for it is "tRNA-Met". It matches the Rfam family "tRNA". From Rfam's summary of the family: Transfer RNA (tRNA) molecules are approximately 80 nucleotides in length. Their secondary structure includes four short double-helical elements and three loops (D, anti-codon, and T loops). Further hydrogen bonds mediate the characteristic L-shaped molecular structure. tRNAs have two regions of fundamental functional importance: the anti-codon, which is responsible for specific mRNA codon recognition, and the 3' end, to which the tRNAs corresponding amino acid is attached (by aminoacyl-tRNA synthetases). tRNAs cope with the degeneracy of the genetic code in two manners: having more than one tRNA (with a specific anti-codon) for a particular amino acid; and 'wobble' base-pairing, i.e. permitting non-standard base-pairing at the 3rd anti-codon position. Lineage: Bacteria; Bacillati; Bacillota; Bacilli. The record is from RNAcentral.
GGAUCUUUCUUCUAGCGGUUAGGAUACUCGACUCAUAACCCUGCGACCCAGGUUCGAAUCCUGGAAGAUCCACCA